Vigna angularis (adzuki bean) is the source of this 752-nucleotide long non-coding RNA. RefSeq lists it as uncharacterized. NCBI's taxonomy places the organism in Eukaryota, Viridiplantae, Streptophyta, Magnoliopsida, Fabales, Fabaceae. The transcript has 2 exons. The record is from RefSeq and is a predicted model, not a curated record.
AAAGGUAAUUUUGAAUAAGCAAAGGCAAUAAACAAUUGCCGCGUAAUUAAUCUUCAUGACUAUUCCGUUAUUACCCUCCAAGCUCUCAAAACCAUUCAUUUCCCGUCUCUUUAUAUAACCCAGUCAAACCCGAUUAAAUAAACGAACAUACUCUUCAAUUUUCUUUCUCUCUCACUUCUCCCAUUUUCCCAGAAUUAUUUUCCCGGAAAAUUCCCAAAAAUUUUCUAGGCAGCCAAAGGCUCCCACCAUGACCAAAUCCGCCUUCCUCGCUGCCUCCGUCGCCGCCGCCUCCGCCACUGCAGUUUCCCUCUCUUCCUCCACGAAGCUCUCUCUUCAGGACGGCGGGGCGCGGAGAGACCACGGCCAGCCAUCGACUGCGGCGAGUGCGGCGUCGUUGGAGAAGUUCGCGCCGCGGUUCGACGGGUUGCGGUUCAUCGAAACGCUUAUUACUGCGCACAGAUGAACGUGCGUUGCGGAAACGCGCUUUUGGGGUUUUCCCUUCAGCCUUUUUGAUCUUGUGCUGUCUAGAAAACUAAGAAAACAAAACUCAUGGGAAAUGUUUGGAUCUCACUUUUUAAAUUUGUUUUGUUAUUUAGAAAAUGGGAGAGAGAUUGUAAUACUACGGAAUUGUUACUGUUAUUUGAUACGAUGCUUUCUAGUGAGUUUUUUCGACCCUUGUGUGAGUCGUGACUAUUAAUUUCUAUGUAAUUUAUGAGGGAAAUAUUAUAAAAAAUGAUUAAUUAAUUUAUUAA